This 63-nucleotide transfer RNA is filed under the name Bacillus smithii. It matches the Rfam family "tRNA", at positions 6 to 65 of the family's 71-position model. Rfam says of the family: Transfer RNA (tRNA) molecules are approximately 80 nucleotides in length. Their secondary structure includes four short double-helical elements and three loops (D, anti-codon, and T loops). Further hydrogen bonds mediate the characteristic L-shaped molecular structure. tRNAs have two regions of fundamental functional importance: the anti-codon, which is responsible for specific mRNA codon recognition, and the 3' end, to which the tRNAs corresponding amino acid is attached (by aminoacyl-tRNA synthetases). tRNAs cope with the degeneracy of the genetic code in two manners: having more than one tRNA (with a specific anti-codon) for a particular amino acid; and 'wobble' base-pairing, i.e. permitting non-standard base-pairing at the 3rd anti-codon position. RNAcentral also lists the same sequence under 5 other names. Lineage: Bacteria; Bacillati; Bacillota; Bacilli; Caryophanales; Bacillaceae. The record is from RNAcentral.
AUUAGCUCAGUCGGUAGAGCAUCUGACUUUUAAUCAGAGGGUCGGAGGUUCGAAUCCUCCAUG